UACGUAGGGAGCAAGCGUUGUCCGGAUUUAUUGGGCGUAAAGAGCUCGUAGGCGGUUUGUUGCGUCGGCUGUGAAAUCCCGAGGCUCAACCUCGGGUCUGCAGUCGAUACGAGCAAACUAGAGUGUUGCAGGGGAGACUGGAAUUCCUGGUGUAGCGGUGAAAUGCGCAGAUAUCAGGAGGAACACCGGUGGCGAAGGCGGGUCUCUGGGCAACAACUGACGCUGAGGAGCGAAAGCGUGGGGAGCGAACAGG
This 253-nucleotide ribosomal RNA is filed under the name uncultured bacterium. Its description in RNAcentral is "partial 16S ribosomal RNA". It matches the Rfam family "Bacterial small subunit ribosomal RNA", at positions 524 to 776 of the family's 1533-position model. The record is from RNAcentral.